AGUGAACGCUGGCGGUAGGCCUAACACAUGCAAGUCGAACGGCAGCACAGUAAGAGCUUGCUCUUACGGGUGGCGAGUGGCGGACGGGUGAGGAAUACAUCGGAAUCUACUUUUUCGUGGGGGAUAACGUAGGGAAACUUGCGCUAAUACCGCAUACGACCUACGGGUGAAAGCAGGGGAUCUUCGGACCUUGCGCGAUUGAAUGAGCCGAUGUCGGAUUAGCUAGUUGGCGGGGUAAAGGCCCACCAAGGCGACGAUCCGUAGCUGGUCUGAGAGGAUGAUCAGCCACACUGGAACUGAGACACGGUCCAGACUCCUACGGGAGGCAGCAGUGGGGAAUAUUGGACAAUGGGCGCAAGCCUGAUCCAGCCAUACCGCGUGGGUGAAGAAGGCCUUCGGGUUGUAAAGCCCUUUUGUUGGGAAAGAAAAGCAGCAGGUUAAUACCCCGCUGUUCUGGCGGUACCCAAAGAAUAAGCACCGGCUAACUUCGUG
This 492-nucleotide ribosomal RNA is filed under the name uncultured bacterium. RNAcentral's name for it is "partial 16S ribosomal RNA". It matches the Rfam family "Bacterial small subunit ribosomal RNA", at positions 29 to 507 of the family's 1533-position model. The record is from RNAcentral.